UAAUAUUUUCCCUCUAAAAAAACAACAGAUUAUAAUAGUAAUGAUGAUAUUAGCUCAUAUUUUUAAGCUAUCUUGUUAUGUCAUGACAAACCUUUGGGUUAACAGGACUGUUUAGAAUUACUAUUUCUAUUUUAUAGUUGAGGAGACCAGUGAAGAGAGGUCCAGUGGCUUGAUGAGACCCUGUUAGUUUAAUGGUGGAGCCAGAACUUUCCCUCUUGCCUUUCUUCUGACUCCAGCCAAGUCCAACUCACCCUAAUGACUCAGCUGAAGCAUCGGUGCUCAGGAACAAUAUGAGACACCAGGAGCUGUGCUCAGCGGCAGAUCUGCUUUUCCAAAACAGAGCUCACUUUUGGAGUGGAAAGAGCGAUUUCACUUUUCCCAGGUUGAGAGAUGGCUUCUGUUUUUGCUACAGCUCGUGAGCCAGCAGUGCCGUCCUUACAAGAAAAGACGAGCUGCUGGUAUCUCAUGAAAAAGACAACUAUAAACUCUGUCAGUAAAACAGUGCCUUGUAUUUCCAAAAUAGCGUUCCGACCCUCCCGGCGCAAGGGAGCUCACAGAAGAUCCUGAGAAAGAGCUUGCCCACAUGAGAGACGUCGGCGUGUGCCAGCCCUCCAUCGAAGAAGGAGCAGGUUCAGGACCUGGCACUGUGCAGCUGAGUGGCACUGCUCCCAGAACUCUCAUCCAAUAAAGAGCCAUUGUGGGAUCUGGACCCUUCAACAUACAGGACAAAUGACUCAAAUGAAAAGCACAAUGCACAAUUAAGCAAAAUGAUGGAUUUGAGGCACACAAACUCCUCUCCCUGGAGAUUCAUCAUACGGAACCGAGACGAUGUAGCCAGCAACA
Molecule: long non-coding RNA, 843 nt
Organism: Balaenoptera acutorostrata (minke whale)
Lineage: Eukaryota; Metazoa; Chordata; Mammalia; Artiodactyla; Balaenopteridae
Exons: 4
Source: RefSeq, a predicted model, not a curated record